Non-coding RNA from Triticum aestivum (bread wheat), 124 nucleotides. The record is from Rfam. NCBI's taxonomy places the organism in Eukaryota, Viridiplantae, Streptophyta, Magnoliopsida, Poales, Poaceae.
UAAAUACUCCUCCGUCCGGAAAUACUUGUCGAAGAAAUGCAUGUAUCUAAAUAUAUUUUAGUUCUAGAUAUAUUUAUUUUUAUCGAUUUCGGCGACAAGUAAUUUCGAACGGAGGGAGUAAAAG